UACCGGCGGCUCGAGUGGUGGCCGAUAUUAUUGAGUCUAAAGGGUCCGUAGCCGGCUUUGCAAGUCUCUCGGGAAAUCCAGCGGCUUAACCGUUGGUCGUCCGGGGGGUACUACAUUGCUUGGGACUGGGAGAGGUAGGAGGUACUCAGGGGGUAGGAGUGAAAUCCUGUAAUCCUCUGGGGACCACCGGUGGCGAAGGCGUCCUACCAGAACAGGUCCGACGGUGAGGGACGAAAGCUAGGGGCACGAACCGG
Molecule: ribosomal RNA, 254 nt
Filed under: uncultured archaeon
Lineage: Archaea
Description: partial 16S ribosomal RNA
Rfam family: Archaeal small subunit ribosomal RNA
Source: RNAcentral